This 2526-nucleotide ribosomal RNA is filed under the name Triticum aestivum (bread wheat). Its description in RNAcentral is "partial small subunit ribosomal RNA". The record is from RNAcentral. Lineage: Eukaryota; Viridiplantae; Streptophyta; Magnoliopsida; Poales; Poaceae.
AUGCACGCGACCUCUCCUUUCCUCUCCAAUCUCUCUCGUUUUUCCUUCACAUCGGCAAGGGUUGCCGCCGCCGCCGCCUCGCUCACUCCCCAAAUUUUCUCCCCCCUCCCCAAAUCCUGCAGCGGCCGCCUCUGCUGCUCCUGCGCCUGGUCGUCGCCGCCUCUGCUGCUCCUGCGCGUGGUCGUCAGCGCCUCUCCUCCCACCUCAGCGUCCAACCGCCUCAGUGCCUCUUCCUCUUCAUCUCGGACGGCGUCGAGUGCGGCCGCCCCGUGCUCUCUCUCUCUCUCCCAGGUCGACCCAGGAGGAGCUCGAGCGGCAGCGCUGGUCCACGGCGCCGUCGUUGUUGGCAGGAGCGUGAGCGCACAGACGGUCGUCUCCCUCCGGCUUCAUGUCGCCGUCCAUCAACCCGUGAGGUCAGUCCCUGCGUCCUCGCCUCAACCCUCGCUGUCACGCAAGCCUUCUCCUCCGUCCUCUCAAUGUUUUGCGAUGAACUGGCUGCCGACGCUGCAGUGUAGACCACCAUGAAGGUGGUUGUUGGUUGAAUGUCAGAGUUGUAGUUCUUCAUCGAUCGCUGAUCUUGUUCGUCUCUGAAUUCUGCGCUUGUCAUCGUCACCAUGAAAUUGAACUAAUCGACCCCAGCUCACAGAUUUGCCUUGCUGUUUCAUCUGCUCAGAGUAUCAUCUUUCUGUUGAGGUAUAUGUGAAGGUGGUGCGCAAACCUGGUAGUAAAGACCUACAAAAAGUCUGAGGUGGAAAUUUACGUCCUUGUGAAGGAUGAAGGUGGUCGCCACACUGCCUUCUUCUCAAACUACAGCCCACAGUUCUACUUCAGGACAGCUGACAUCCGUGGGAAAAUCGAGUUGCCUCCGGACGUGAAGAUGGUUAUGCCUGGUGACAACAUAACUGCAAUCGUCGAGUUGAUGUUGCCUGUUCCACUCGAACCAGGGCUAAGAUUUGCGCUCAGGGAAGGAGGGGGGACCGCUGGUGCCGGAGUCAUUGCCGAAGUCAUGAGCUAAUAACAAUAAUAUGUUCCAGACCUUUCUCUUUUUACUUCUCAAUUAAUUCGAGAUUUGUUUUGUAAGGAUUUCAAUGCUGUGAAUCAAAUGUCAAACGUAGGAAAAACAAAUUAAGGAUCUAAAUCCUACAAUUUUUAAAAUAAAUUUUCUAUGAAUCAAAGGAGUCGGUAGAGUAGAAGCGUGCAGAACACUAGCUACUGAAAUAUGAGUACGGCCAGAAACAUCUCUUCAACUUAUUAGUGCAUAUCCAACGCCCUCCUGUAAAACGUCCAGACCGACGCGUCCGGACGCACUUGGUGGGAGUAUAAAUCUCAUUGGAUCAACAUUUAAGUAGCACUUGAUUAAGGAUACUAUGGGAUCUUGGAGACCUCAGAUGUAGGUGAGGAUGAGAUGCCAGAUAUGAAAUUAUGAAGGAUGAGACAUGUCUGAAGAAGAAGGCUCGGCUAGGUGGUUGUUGGUUGAGUGUGAGAGCUGUACUCCUUCAUCGAUCUCUGAUCUUGUUCGUCGAUGAAUUCUGCGCCUGUCAUCGUCGCCAAGAAAUCGCACUAAUCGGUUCGUCGUCAGAUUUGCCAUGCUGUUUCAUGUGCUCAAAGGAUCAUCUUUCUCUUCAGGUUUAGAGACGAGGAUCCAGAGAAAUAUUAUGCUCAGCCAUCCUUCUGUAUCAACUUCUGUAUCAACUGUAACGGUGAGACUUUUACAUUAGCUAUGGAAGAAGAGGCCAAAGAUCAAAUACUAUGUCUGCACCAUCAGCAAGACAUUUGCCAAACCAGGGCAAUGCAUGUACUUUCACAUGGAGUACACUGAGGACAAGCUACAGAAAUACAUCAAGAAGAUGAUGACACAUUGCCACUCAAGCUCGGAGACGGAACCGUGAGCUGCGAUGGUCGCUACAUGCUUGGAACCGACAAGAGGGCCACCACAUCAUGACGAACUGUCAUAUGGUUUCGCCAUCACGCCAACAUCAAAAGAGGGCGACAUGUGCGCCUUCCAUUUCAAGUGCAAGGAAGGGCACCGCCUCUCCUUCACCAACCAGUCUCUAGGCAUAACGUCAUCAGCAGGACCUGUCUUCUAUAUAUGACUUGACGAUUCCGUGUUGUGAUGGUCCGAUGAACUCUGCUUCUCUUUUGGAGACCGCCUACAUGUUGGAGCAUGUGCACAACUCCGCUACCAAGGCAAGUGCGCACAGGAUCGCACAGGAGGCACGCCUCGGGCGCGCCCCAGCCUCUAGUAAUAGGUACAACCCAGACCAAACUAAAUCAAUUUAAGGGAUUAGCCUAUUUCAUUCAAUCCAAAAGCAGUCCAACGGAAAAACUGACUGAAACUGUAGCUUCAGUCCAAACUAUUCACAGGCUUAAAUACACAAAAGUAAUUAGGUGGAUUAGUAGUAGAAGAAGCGACCUAGGUAGCACCCAAGUGAGAUGCUAGUAAAUUACUUGUGUAUAUGGGUGAGACAAGAGAAGAGGUAGUAGUUCUCUGUACUCUGUGGUGCGGCUGGGUAGAGAAGGAAUUAU